This 732-nucleotide ribosomal RNA is filed under the name uncultured marine bacterium. RNAcentral describes it as "bacterial SSU rRNA". It matches the Rfam family "Bacterial small subunit ribosomal RNA", at positions 60 to 839 of the family's 1533-position model. The record is from RNAcentral.
AGUCGAACGAACCUUCGGGUUAGUGGCGGACGGGUGAGUAACGCGUGGGAAUCUGCCCUCAGGAGGGGGAUAACGGUUGGAAACGGCCGCUAAUACCCCAUAUGCCGAGAGGUGAAAUGAAUUUCGCCUGAGGAUGAGCCCGCGUCUGAUUAGCUAGUUGGUGAGGUAAGAGCUCACCAAGGCAUCGAUCAGUAGCUGGUCUGAGAGGAUGAUCAGCCACACUGGGACUGAGACACGGCCCAGACUCCUACGGGAGGCAGCAGUGGGGAAUUUUCCGCAAUGGGCGAAAGCCUGACGGAGCAACGCCGCGUGAGGGAUGAAGGCCUCUGGGCUGUAAACCUCUUUUAUCAAGGAAGAAGAUCUGACGGUACUUGAUGAAUAAGCCACGGCUAAUUCCGUGCCAGCAGCCGCGGUAAUACGGGAGUGGCAAGCGUUAUCCGGAAUUAUUGGGCGUAAAGCGUCCGCAGGCGGCCCAACAAGUCUGCUGUUAAAAAGUGGAGCUUAACUCCAUCAUGGCAGUGGAAACUGUUGGGCUCGAGUGUGGUAGGGGCAGAGGGAAUUCCCGGUGUGGCGGUGAAAUGCGUAGAUAUCGGGAAGAACACCAGUGGCGAAGGCGCUCUGCUGGGCCAUCACUGACGCUCAUGGACGAAAGCCAGGGGAGCGAAAGGGAUUAGAUACCCCUGUAGUCCUGGCCGUAAACGAUGAACACUAGGUGUCGGGGGAAUCGACCCC